RNAcentral lists this ribosomal RNA (445 nucleotides) under uncultured bacterium. RNAcentral describes it as "partial 16S ribosomal RNA". It matches the Rfam family "Bacterial small subunit ribosomal RNA", at positions 354 to 796 of the family's 1533-position model. The record is from RNAcentral.
GUGAGGAAUAUUGGUCAAUGGGCGGGAGCCUGAACCAGCCAAGUCGCGUGAAGGAAGAAGGAUCUAUGGUUCGUAAACUUCUUUUGCAGGGGAAUAAAGUGCAGGACGUGUCCUGUUUUGUAUGUACACUGCGAAUAAGGAUCGGCUAACUUCGUGCCAGCAGCCGCGGUAAUACGGAGGAUCCGAGCGUUAUCCGGAUUUAUUGGGUUUAAAGGGUGCGUAGGUGGUUUGAUAAGUCAGCGGUGAAAAUUUGCAGCUUAACUGUCAGAAUGCCGUUGAAACUGUCGGACUUGAGUGUAAAUGAGGUAGGCGUAAUGCUUGGUGUAUCGGUGAAAUACAUAGAUAUCACGCAGAACUCCGAUUGCGAGGACAGCUUACUAAGCUACAACAGAGACUGAAGCACGAAAGCGUGAGGAGCAAACAGGAUUAGAUACCCGUGUAGUCC